RNAcentral lists this ribosomal RNA (492 nucleotides) under uncultured bacterium. RNAcentral describes it as "partial 16S ribosomal RNA". It matches the Rfam family "Bacterial small subunit ribosomal RNA", at positions 29 to 507 of the family's 1533-position model. The record is from RNAcentral.
AGUGAACGCUGGCGGUAGGCCUAACACAUGCAAGUCGAACGGCAGCACAGUAAGAGCUUGCUCUUACGGGUGGCGAGUGGCGGACGGGUGAGGAAUACAUCGGAAUCUACUUUUUCGUGGGGGAUAACGUAGGGAAACUUACGCUAAUACCGCAUACGACCUACGGGUGAAAGCAGGGGAUCUUCGGACCUUGCGCGAUUGAAUGAGCCGAUGUCGGAUUAGCUAGUUGGCGGGGUAAAGGCCCACCAAGGCGACGAUCCGUAGCUGGUCUGAGAGGAUGAUCAGCCACACUGGAACUGAGACACGGUCCAGACUCCUACGGGAGGCAGCAGUGGGGAAUAUUGGAAAAUGGGCGCAAGCCUGAUCCAGCCGUACCGCGUGGGUGAAGAAGGCCUUCGGGUUGUAAAGCCCUUUUGUUGGGAAAGAAAAGCAGCAGGUUAAUACCCCGCUGUUCUGACGGUACCCAAAGAAUAAGCACCGGCUAACUUCGUG